This 476-nucleotide ribosomal RNA is filed under the name Pseudomonas aeruginosa. Its description in RNAcentral is "bacterial SSU rRNA". It matches the Rfam family "Bacterial small subunit ribosomal RNA", at positions 18 to 489 of the family's 1533-position model. The record is from RNAcentral. Lineage: Bacteria; Pseudomonadati; Pseudomonadota; Gammaproteobacteria; Pseudomonadales; Pseudomonadaceae.
CCUGGCUCAGAUUGAACGCUGGCGGCAGGCCUAACACAUGCAAGUCGAGCGGAUGAAGGGAGCUUGCUCCUGGAUUCAGCGGCGGACGGGUGAGUAAUGCCUAGGAAUCUGCCUGGUAGUGGGGGAUAACGUCCGGAAACGGGCGCUAAUACCGCAUACGUCCUGAGGGAGAAAGUGGGGGAUCUUCGGACCUCACGCUAUCAGAUGAGCCUAGGUCGGAUUAGCUAGUUGGUGGGGUAAAGGCCUACCAAGGCGACGAUCCGUAACUGGUCUGAGAGGAUGAUCAGUCACACUGGAACUGAGACACGGUCCAGACUCCUACGGGAGGCAGCAGUGGGGAAUAUUGGACAAUGGGCGAAAGCCUGAUCCAGCCAUGCCGCGUGUGUGAAGAAGGUCUUCGGAUUGUAAAGCACUUUAAGUUGGGAGGAAGGGCAGUAAGUUAAUACCUUGCUGUUUUGACGUUACCAACAGAAUAA